This 549-nucleotide ribosomal RNA is filed under the name uncultured bacterium. RNAcentral describes it as "partial 16S ribosomal RNA". It matches the Rfam family "Bacterial small subunit ribosomal RNA", at positions 355 to 922 of the family's 1533-position model. The record is from RNAcentral.
UAGGGAAUCUUGGACAAUGGGCGAAAGCCUGAUCCAGCCAUGCCGCGUGAGUGAUGAAGGCCUUAGGGUUGUAAAGCUCUUUCGCCAGGGAAGAUAAUGACGGUACCUGGAUAAGAAGCCCCGGCAAACUUCGUGCCAGCAGCCGCGGUAAUACGAAGGGGGCUAGCGUUGUUCGGAAUUACUGGGCGUAAAGCGCACGUAGGCGGCUUUCCAAGUUGGAGUGAAAUCCCCGGGCUUAACUCGGGAACUGCCUCCAAAAACUGGACGGCUCGAGUCCGAGAGAGGUGAGUGGAAUUUCCAGUGUAGAGGUGAAAUUCGUAGAUAUUGGAAAGAACACCAGUGGCGAAGGCGGCUCACUGGCUCGGUACUGACGCUGAGGUGCGACAGCGUGGGGAGCAAACAGGAUUAGAUACCCUGGUAGUCCACGCCGUAAACGAUGGGUGCUAGUUGUCAGGCAGCUUGCUGUUUGGUGACGCAGCUAACGCAUUAAGCACCCCGCCUGGGGAGUACGGUCGCAAGAUUAAAACUCAAAGGAAUUGACGGGGUCAU